This 253-nucleotide ribosomal RNA is filed under the name uncultured bacterium. RNAcentral describes it as "partial 16S ribosomal RNA". It matches the Rfam family "Bacterial small subunit ribosomal RNA", at positions 524 to 776 of the family's 1533-position model. The record is from RNAcentral.
UACGUAGGGAGCAAGCGUUGUCCGGAAUCAUUGGGCGUAAAGCGCGCGUAGGCGGCCUCAUAAGUCCGUUGUGAAAGUCAAAGGCUCAACCUUUGAAAGCCGAUGGACACUGUGAGGCUAGAGUCCGGAAGAGGCGAGUGGAAUUCCUGGUGUAGCGGUGGAAUGCGCAGAUAUCGUAAGGAAGACCAGUGGCGAAGGCGGGUCUCUGGACAGUUCCUGACGCUGAGGCACGAAGGUCAGGGGAGCAAACGGG